This is a non-coding RNA of Pantherophis guttatus, 962 nucleotides long. The record is from RefSeq and is a predicted model, not a curated record. NCBI's taxonomy places the organism in Eukaryota, Metazoa, Chordata, Lepidosauria, Squamata, Colubridae.
GAAAUUGGUGAUGUUUUAAUAUUUUAAAGGAAUAUACAAAAUAUCAAACCCAAAUAAUGAUUUGGAGAAACUUUUUUACUGGAUGUACAAAAGAAAUCUGUUAAAAGUCUUGAAGGGACAAAAAAUUGAAAAUAAAUCAAGUUCUACGAUAUUAUUUGAAAACAUUAAGAACCAAGAUUGUUAAAAAUCCAGUGAGGAAGUCCACCCACUUUUGAUGUCUACAAUGGAUUACCCAUUUUAGUUGUGAAAGUUGGACAAUGAAAAAACUAGACAGGGGAAAAACUAGACAAGAGGUUCUAGGAAACUCACCACAGCCAACUCAUCACAGCAUCUAAAUUAUUCCCACGUCGAAUCAGACUCAGGACUAAGCAUGGCGGCGGACCCCGUUAACGACUACUGAGCCGGAGCCGCGGCUUGCCUGUCUGCCCCCAGUCACCCCCGUCGGCUGACUUACCUGCGGAUCCAGUCAUUAGCUCGCCAGUGGGGUCAUCAAGCACAGUCAGGCCUUGGCAUGUGAGCAACCAGGGACUCCGGGCACGGCUCUACCUUCGCCACCACGAUUUGAAUCUUCCGCUCCGGAAUUGCAGUGUUCCUGCAUAUUUGUCAGACUACGCAUGUGCCAUCCAAGGGGGGAGGAGUGUAGCGUCCUCUGCCUGUUGCCAUCAGCAACCAGGAUUAGCUGCUGAUUGGCUACCAGUUGACAGUUCCUUAGGCGGGAGGCGUACUCGUUAACCAUUGGCUAUCUCUCUGACAGCUGCUGGUAUAAAUAGCAGCCUGCCUCAAGUUUUCUCUCGUUGCGUUCUGGUUACUAGUUGUUAAACAAUAAAUCUUUGUGUUCGAGUUAAAUCGCCUCAAGCGUUAUUCCACGCCAAUAACGAACUUAACAACUAUUUUUUUUCUUUGGACAAAUAUGGUUCUCUCCUUGUACCUUUGCUUUUCUGGAAAUAAACAAAUGUCGAAGC